CAGUAGCCGCGGUAACACGUAGGGUGCGAGCGUUAAUCGGAAUUACUGGGCGUAAAGCGUGCGCAGGCGGUUAUAUAAGACAGAUGUGAAAUCCCCGGGCUCAACCUGGGACCUGCAUUUGUGACUGUAUAGCUAGAGUACGGUAGAGGGGGAUGGAAUUCCGCGUGUAGCAGUGAAAUGCGUAGAUAUGCGGAGGAACACCGAUGGCGAAGGCAAUCCCCUGGACCUGUACUGACGCUCAUGCACGAAAGCGUGGGGAGCAGACAGGAUUAGAUACCCGUGUAGUCCCUGUCUCUUAUAC
Molecule: ribosomal RNA, 301 nt
Filed under: uncultured bacterium
Lineage: Bacteria
Description: partial 16S ribosomal RNA
Rfam family: Bacterial small subunit ribosomal RNA
Source: RNAcentral